GACAGAGGGUGCAAACGUUGUUCGGAAUUACUGGGCGUAAAGCGUGUGUAGGCGGCUAUGUAAGUCGGAUGUGAAAGCCCCGGGCUCAACCCGGGAAGUGCACUCGAUACUGCGUAGCUUGAGUACUGGAGAGGUUGGUGGAAUUCUCGGUGUAAAGGUGAAAUUCGUAGAUAUCGAGAGGAACACCGGUGGCGAAGGCGGCCAACUGGACAGAUACUGACGCUGAGACACGAAAGCGUGGGGAGCAAACAGG
This 253-nucleotide ribosomal RNA is filed under the name uncultured bacterium. Its description in RNAcentral is "partial 16S ribosomal RNA". It matches the Rfam family "Bacterial small subunit ribosomal RNA", at positions 524 to 776 of the family's 1533-position model. The record is from RNAcentral.